AAGACUUUUUGCUAAAGUCCCAGGCUGUUGAUGUCCACAUCAGUUGUCGACAGAUUGUUCCUCCGCAGCAAUUACUGAUCGGCAGAGUAAUGCACGGCAGCCAUUGUCCUGUAAUUGCCUUGUUAUGAAUCGACGCGCAUGAGAGAGGAAAGCAAACAUUGACUCACUACACUACUUGACACUAUUUGAAGUAAUGGCAUUAAUGUUUCCCUGGUAUAUUGCUCUCUGGUGCAUCUAAGCAUUGAUGGCCGGAUGCUCAUGUGAACAGGUCGUCCGUCCUUGUAUGCAAACUUUAUUGUAGCCAGUAGCAGUGAAGUUAGGGACACGCGGGGGCAGGAGCCUGCCCUCUGAGACUGGUCUAAAAGCAGGGGUGGUCUCAGCUCCCCUCUGUUUGGCUUAAUUGCUGAUUGCUUGCAGAGACGAUUAGUGCAGAGUUGCCUGAGGCUGGUUUGCAGGCACGUAAUCUUUGAAUGUCUUCCGGAUUUGAGGACUUUUUUGGCUGGCCACUACUGGAGUAGAACUCUUGAGGGACUGCAACAUUUGCAUGAUACUGCUGCAGAGUGUUGUGAGCAGACAGGAAUGGCUGUUAUAAUUGAUUGCAAGAAUGCCAUCUGCGAUUGAAGGCAUCAUAUCCCCAUAGUAGACUCAGGGUCGCCGUUUUUCCCUGAAGGUCCGACCGGUGAGUCACUUGUACUGGUGUCAAAAUACUUCUGGAGAUCUCUUGCAUAUUCAACGCAUCAGACAGAAUGUAAUAUACCAUUUGUGCCCAAUUGAUGGUAGUCGCAAGUGGCUCCUCAAGAUUGCCCCAACUCCACUCUGCUGGGC
RNAcentral lists this long non-coding RNA (825 nucleotides) under Coccomyxa subellipsoidea. RNAcentral's name for it is "long non-coding RNA (CSUB_LNC000140)". The record is from RNAcentral. Lineage: Eukaryota; Viridiplantae; Chlorophyta; Trebouxiophyceae; Coccomyxaceae.